Molecule: long non-coding RNA, 1112 nt
Organism: Trichosurus vulpecula (common brushtail)
Lineage: Eukaryota; Metazoa; Chordata; Mammalia; Diprotodontia; Phalangeridae
Exons: 5
Source: RefSeq, a predicted model, not a curated record
CUCACAAAGAUAUUCCAAUUGCCUUUUAAUAGGGGAGGCAAGUACAGGGUAAGUUUGUAGAGCUGGGCCUCUCUAACUAUGCCUCCUGGGAAGUAGCUGAAAUCUGCACCCUCUGCAAGAAAAAUGGCUGGGUUGUCCCCACUGUGUACCAGGUGGUCUUCUCACUGGCAAAUACAAGUACGAAGACAAAGAACAGCCUCUGACCCGAUUCUUUGGAUGACCUUUUUCUGCAGUGUACCAUAAACCCUACUGGAAGGUACUUCACUUUCAAGCCAUUGCUCUUAUGGAGAAAGCCCCGGCAGCAUCUUAUGAGGCCAACCCUCCCAGCAUGACCUCAGCAGCCCUCCGAUGGAUGUACCAUCACUCCCAGCUCCAGGUGAAGGAGCUAAAUCUAGAGGCUCUGACUUUGUGGGCAUGGAAAAAUCAGGAGACCAAGGCUCCAGGAAUAUGGAGGCAAGGCGUUGGAGUCCAUGCCAGGUUUUACAGCCAGUCUACUGCUGAUGUCCUGAGAGUCAAGGAAAGGCCUUCAGGUUCCAAUGGUGCCUGAAAUAAAAAAAAUCAUCCUUCAGUCAAGCCUUGUCUGGAUGGAAACUUGAUGUGACCAGUGCGAUGUAGAGAUUCUUCAUGAUACAGAAACUAUAACAACACUAUAGAAAUUGUAUCAUAUCACAAACAAAUUAGAGAAGCAAAGAAGGAGAUUCUUUUCAUACCACCAUGGAUAGGGGAAGAGUUCUUGACCAAACAGUGGAUAGAGAGACUCAUGGGACAUCAAAAGGACAAGUGUAAUCACAUCAAAUUGAAAAUGUUUUCAUAAAUAAAUUAAUUAAAUUAAAAAGAAAAAAAGAAAAGGUUUUACAUAAAAAACCCAAUGAUACCAAAAUUAGAAGGAAAAGAGAAACUGAGAGAAAAUUAUGGCAAGUUUCGCUGAUAGAAAUCUCAUUUCUCAAAUGUAUAGAGACCUGAGCCAACCUGAGAAGAUGAUGGGCCAUUCUCCUAUUGGUAAAUGGACAAAAGGUAUGAAUAGGCAGUUUUCAGAAGGAGAAAUCAAAGUUAACAAUAAACAUAUUAAAACUAAAUUCUCUAAACCAUUAAAAAUGAGAGAAAUGCAAAUU